GGCUAACCCCGAGGUUGCAGCUCGGGUUGAAUCUAUUAUCUUGUCGGUUUCGCCUCUUCCUGAUAAAUUGGUUUGGAUACACUCCCCAGAUGGGUGUCUGACUGCAAAGCAAGCCAUCACUUUUUUGCUUCCCUUAACCGUACUUAUUCCUUGGGCAGAUUUGGUUUGGAAAUCUUGCAUAACGUCGUCGCAUUCUUUCAUCUUUUGGCACCUAUGGCAUCAAAAGAUGCUCACGGAUGAGAACCUUCGUAGCCGUGGCUGUUAGAUUGUUUCUGUUUGCUCCCUGUGUAGAUAUGUCUCAGAAACAAGGCAAUACUGCUCAAUUAAAACGAGGGUGAGAAGAAGAAAGCAAAAUCGACUGUGACAUGGCACAUAAUCAAAUGUGAUGGUUCCGUAAAAAAAAAAAAAAAACAAUUCGAAGGUGCCGGUGUACAAUUAAUCCAGACUGAGGAAGAGUGGAAGGACUUGUUACUUUGGUCAUCAACAGUGGCAGAGCCAGAAAAAAAAUGUCAGGGUGGGCCACUAAAAUUAACUAUUGAAAAAUUGUUUAAAGUCUCGCAUAAUUGAAUUAUUUAAAUUUUUCAGGUGGGCCACUACACCAAUUUGCGGGAAUUUAGAUCAACCAAAAUCUAAAACCGGCAUAAAAUUAUAUAAAAUCUCGCAAAAUAGACCUAUAAUUGAAUUAUUUAAAUUUUCGGGUGAGCCACUACACCACUUUGCAGGAAUUUGG
This 730-nucleotide long non-coding RNA is filed under the name Medicago truncatula (barrel medic). RNAcentral describes it as "lncRNA gene10665". The record is from RNAcentral. Lineage: Eukaryota; Viridiplantae; Streptophyta; Magnoliopsida; Fabales; Fabaceae.